This 468-nucleotide ribosomal RNA is filed under the name uncultured bacterium. RNAcentral's name for it is "partial 16S ribosomal RNA". It matches the Rfam family "Bacterial small subunit ribosomal RNA", at positions 28 to 507 of the family's 1533-position model. The record is from RNAcentral.
GACGAACGCUGGCGGCGUGCUUAACACAUGCCAGUCGAACGUAAAGGCCCUGCUUUUGUGGGGUGCUCGAGUGGCGAACGGGUGAGUAACACGUGAGUAACCUGCCCUUGACUUUGGGAUAACUUCAGGAAACUGGGGCUAAUACCGGAUAGGAGCUCCUGCUGCAUGGUGGGGGUUGGAAAGUUUCGGCGGUUGGGGAUGGACUCGCGGCUUAUCAGCUUGUUGGUGGGGUAGUGGCUUACCAAGGCUUUGACGGGUAGCCGGCCUGAGAGGGUGACCGGCGACAUUGGGACUGAGGUACGGCCCAGACUCGUACGGGAGGCAGCAGUGGGGAAUAUUGCACAAUGGGCGGAAGCCUGAUGCAGCAACGCCGCGUGCGGGAUGACGGCCUUCGGGUUGUAAACCGCUUUCGCCUGUGACGAAGCGUGAGUGACGGUAAUGGGUAAAGAAGCACCGGCUAACUACGUG